Long non-coding RNA from Oreochromis niloticus (Nile tilapia), 1538 nucleotides. RefSeq lists it as uncharacterized. NCBI's taxonomy places the organism in Eukaryota, Metazoa, Chordata, Actinopteri, Cichliformes, Cichlidae. The record is from RefSeq and is a predicted model, not a curated record. The transcript has 2 exons.
AGUAAAAACAGUAGUUAUAAAUAAAUAUUUCUAAAUGUAUUAAUCCAUUGAUAAAUUCAAUUUUUUUUAGACUGAGAAUGAGAUUGUAAAGUGGUGUGGGGGGUGAAUGUACCUAGGCAGCAUCAGAUGGUAGUCUGUGGGAUGGCUUUGGAAAUCAAGAAGAAGAAGUGAUUGAAGCCUGAUAUGGUAAUUGAAGACAGAAAACUGUUGUUCAGAAUUCAGGGAGGACUUAAAAGAAAAGCCGACAGAAAUGCCGGUUGGGAAUGUUAACAGACUUAUCAUGAUCAGAACUUUAUUGUUAAAACAUAGGAGAGUCUGAUUAUAAUCUGUUGUUCCAUUAAAUAAUAUCCAAAUUUGCAUAAGACAGCUUUAGUUUUUUGUUUUGUUUUGUUUUGUUUUUUGGCCGCAGCCCUGAGUGUGUACUGGUCUGAGAUCAGCUAAAGAAGCAAAACAAAAACAAAUCAAAUAUGGGCCGAGUCUACCUGCGCUUGAUCCAAUUUAUAUAUUAAUUCUUAUAAUACUUAAUUGUUCUUAAACCUUUAAAACCUGAACCAUGAAAUAACUGCCAGAAACCUUUAUCUUUUUUGAUAAUGGAGUGUUUGCUGAACCUUUAGACAAUAUAUAAAUACAUCAAAUUUUAAUCUGCAUAUACGAGUUUUAAUUUGUAUUACGUUUGCUACAUAAGCCAUAUUUUGCAAUGUAGUCAUUAAAAAUGUGUCAUGCAAUUUAUAUCACUUUUUAAGGUUAAAAAAAAAAAAAAAAAAUCACGCUGAUGAUGCAAAAUUUUGUGCCAAAAGGUAAAAAAAAUAAUUAAAACGAAUAAAAAGCAAGGAAUAAAAUUGCAUCUAAGAAUCUGUAUUUAUUACUGAUGCUCAUUUGGGAAACACAAAGGCUUCAGACACUUAAUAUACUUGAGCUCCUGCUACUAUUCGCACACAGAGAUCUUCAAAGAAUCGUACGGAUAUUUUCUGGAAACUUGGUUUAUCAGCAGAUGGUGAUUUUAUACCUGUUGACAUUUAAUGUGGAACAUAACUUACCAUGGCGAUGUACAGCAGUACGCAGUAAACUAGCUUUGCAGCGCAGGGUUAGCCCCAGAGUAAACCUGCUUUGUAGUACAGACCUCAGAUGAUGCAAAUGUGUAAACCACUACAGUAUGGAGUCACUUUACUUUGGUGUGGUUAUAAUCUGAGUGCUGACAGUACAACUCAUCUUUGCUGAGUUAACAACCUGCCAUUUUUGAACCAGCCAACAAGCUUCAGUGAAUUAAUAAACUUGUUUGAUAAUGUGGAAAAAACUGAUUUCCUUUAUUGGCCAAUUAAAAGUAUUUAAAACAUUUUAAUUGAAUUAUAAAUAUGUUCUAAAUUACAGUCUGUCUAAGAACUAAGAAGCAAAAAUUAGGUGGUAUGUGUGCGUCUCAGACUCGGGUCAUAUUGUUAGCAUUACCUGAUCACUUUACUAUUGCUUAAAAUGCAUGAACCAAAAGAAAAUGGGCAGUAGCGACAGAUGUCUAUCUUUCCUAUAUUGUCUUUCAGUACCAA